GCAUAUCAAUAAGCGGAGGAAAAGAAACCAACAGGGAUUGCCCCAGUAACGGCGAGUGAAGCGGCAACAGCUCAAAUUUGAAAUCUGGCCCCUCCGGGUCCGAGUUGUAAUUUGUAGAGGAUGCUUUUGGUGAGGUGCCGCCCGAGUUCCCUGGAACGGGACGCCACAGAGGGUGAGAGCCCCGUCUGGCUGGCCACCGAGCCUCUGUAAAGCUCCUUCGACGAGUCGAGUAGUUUGGGAAUGCUGCUCAAAAUGGGAGGUAUAUGUCUUCUAAAGCUAAAUAUUGGCCAGAGACCGAUAGCGCACAAGUAGAGUGAUCGAAAGAUGAAAAGCACCUUGAAAAGAGGGUUAAACAGUACGUGAAAUUGUUGAAAGGGAAGCGCUUGUGACCAGACUUGGGCGCGGCGGAUCAUCCGGGGUUCUCUCCGGUGCACUUCGCCGCGUUCAGGCCAGCAUCAGUUCGUCGCGGGGGAAAAAGGCUUCGGGAACGUGGCUCCUCCGGGAGUGUUAUAGCCCGUUGCAUAAUACCCUGCGGUGGACUGAGGACCGCGCAUCUGCAAGGAUGCUGGCGUAAUGGUCACCAGCGACCCGUCUUGAAACACGGACCAAGGAGUCGUCUUCGUAUGCGAGUGUUCGGGUGUCAAACCCCUACGCGUAAUGAAAGUGAACGCAGGUGAGAGCUUCGGCGCAUCAUCGACCGAUCCUGAUGUUCUCGGAUGGAUUUGAGUAAGAGCAUACGGGGCCGGACCCGAAAGAAGGUGAACUAUGCCUGUAUAGGGUGAAGCCAGAGGAAACUCUGGUGGAGGCUCGCAGCGGUUCUGACGUGCAAAUCGAUCGUCAAAUAUGGGCAUGGGGGGCGAAAGACUAAUCGAACCUUCUAGUAGCUGGU
Molecule: ribosomal RNA, 889 nt
Filed under: Trichoderma hamatum
Lineage: Eukaryota; Fungi; Ascomycota; Sordariomycetes; Hypocreales; Hypocreaceae
Description: LSU rRNA
Rfam family: Eukaryotic large subunit ribosomal RNA
Source: RNAcentral